UGGCGGACGGGUGAGUAACGCGUGGAAAACCUGCCGUAUACUGGGGGAUAACACUUAGAAAUAGGUGCUAAUACCGCAUAAGCGCACAGCUUCGCAUGAAGCGGUGUGAAAAACUCCGGUGGUAUGGGAUGGACCCGCGUCUGAUUAGCCAGUUGGCAGGGUAACGGCCUACCAAAGCGACGAUCAGUAGCCGGCCUGAGAGGGUGGACGGCCACAUUGGGACUGAGACACGGCCCAAACUCCUACGGGAGGCAGCAG
RNAcentral lists this ribosomal RNA (258 nucleotides) under uncultured bacterium. RNAcentral's name for it is "partial 16S ribosomal RNA". It matches the Rfam family "Bacterial small subunit ribosomal RNA", at positions 96 to 354 of the family's 1533-position model. The record is from RNAcentral.